RNAcentral lists this ribosomal RNA (480 nucleotides) under Fusarium solani. RNAcentral's name for it is "eukaryotic LSU rRNA". The stretch from base 160 to 313 matches the Rfam family "5.8S ribosomal RNA". Lineage: Eukaryota; Fungi; Ascomycota; Sordariomycetes; Hypocreales; Nectriaceae. The record is from RNAcentral.
GGAUCAUUACCGAGUUAUUCAACUCAUCAACCCUGUGAACUUACCUAAACGUUGCUUCGGCGGGAACAGACGGCCCCGUGAAACGGGCCGCCCCCGCCAGAGGACCCCUAACUCUGUUUCUAUAAUGUUUCUUCUGAGUAAAACAAGCAAAUAAAUUAAAACUUUCAACAACGGAUCUCUUGGCUCUGGCAUCGAUGAAGAACGCAGCGAAAUGCGAUAAGUAAUGUGAAUUGCAGAAUUCAGUGAAUCAUCGAAUCUUUGAACGCACAUUGCGCCCGCCAGUAUUCUGGCGGGCAUGCCUGUUCGAGCGUCAUUACAACCCUCAGGCCCCCGGGCCUGGCGUUGGGGAUCGGCGGAGCCCCCCGUGGGCACACGCCGUCCCCCAAAUGCAGUGGCGGUCCCGCCGCAGCUUCCAUCGCGUAGUAGCUAACACCUCGCGACUGGAGAGCGGCGCGGCCACGCCGUAAAACACCCAACUCU